UACGGGGGGAGCAAGCGUUGUUCGGAUUUACUGGGCGUAAAGGGCGCGUAGGCGGUCAGCACAAGUCAGUUGUGAAAUCUCCGGGCUUAACUCGGAAAGGUCAACUGAUACUGUGCGACUAGAGUGCAGAAGGGGCAACUGGAAUUCUCGGUGUAGCGGUGAAAUGCGUAGAUAUGCGGAGGAACACCGAUGGCGAAGGCAAUCUCCUGGGCCUGCACUGACGCUCAUGCACGAAAGCGUGGGGAGCAAACAGG
RNAcentral lists this ribosomal RNA (254 nucleotides) under uncultured bacterium. RNAcentral's name for it is "partial 16S ribosomal RNA". It matches the Rfam family "Bacterial small subunit ribosomal RNA", at positions 524 to 776 of the family's 1533-position model. The record is from RNAcentral.